UGUCCAGGGGCGGGAAUCGAACCCACAACCUUCUGCUUACCGGGCAGGUGCCAUGUCCACUAAAUUUUCAGUUGGCUAAACACCAACC
Molecule: non-coding RNA, 88 nt
Organism: Cordylochernes scorpioides
Lineage: Eukaryota; Metazoa; Arthropoda; Arachnida; Pseudoscorpiones; Chernetidae
Source: the annotation of a GenBank genome assembly